UAGGGAAUUUUCGUCAAUGGGCGCAAGCCUGAACGAGCGAUGCCGCGUGAGUGAAGAAGGCCUUGGUCGUAAAGCUCUGUUGCGGGGGAAAAAAGGGACAUCUGCAGGAAAUGGUAGAUGACAGAUGGUGCCCCGCCAGAAAGUCACGGCUAACUACGUGCC
Molecule: ribosomal RNA, 162 nt
Filed under: uncultured bacterium
Lineage: Bacteria
Description: partial 16S ribosomal RNA
Rfam family: Bacterial small subunit ribosomal RNA
Source: RNAcentral